GAAAGAUUCUGCUGGUUGUUGAAGAUGAGUUGCCUGGAAUAAAAAGCAGAGUAUCAGUAAGGCCCCAAGAGCACCAGUGGACUUGGACUGACUGGAUUUCUGGCUGCACCUCAGACCUGAACUCCUAUUUUGCAUUUGAAGAUCGUUAGACUUUGGAUGAAGCCCCAAGCAGGGAACGUCCCCGUCCUCAAAUGUCACCUCCUCCGGUUUUCUCUGGAAUACAGCUACAGGACAUAGCACUGAAAGGACGGUGGCAAAAAUAGGAAUCAACAGCAGUGCUGAACCAACAGCAGUGGUGUGGAGGCUGCUGUGGGCAAACGACUGGCAGGCGCGACCUCAACCCACGCAAAGGGGCAAGAGCCAAGGUGACAGUGGCGAAGCUGAGCCUGGUCCAGCCAAGCCAAGCUGAAAGGAGCACAGGAGAAUGGUUGGAAAAGCAACAGUGACUUGCGGGACCUAUCUCCAGCACAGGAGGCUGGUGGAAAAGGCACAGAAAUGAGCCCCAGAGGACCAGUAGCACAACCUGACUCAAAUGACCCAGCUUUCCGGGAAGUUCUUAUUUAUUGCUUGUCAUUUUUUGGGCUUGGGGUGGGGGUCUGGGAAACAUUAGUUGAAGAGCUCCCCAACCAUCUUAUCUUUGCUCUCAGUGGCUAUUUGGUGUGGUGUGUGGGAACAGUCGCCAUAUUGCCUCAGUCAGGGGAAGUCAUGCAGAUGCAACCUAUGGGGAGCAUCUGCCAUCUUCUUUUUGUUCCUCAUGGGUGGUGAACACCUUUUUGUGAGUAAAAUACCCUCUCUUUCCAAUUGAUAUUACUUUUCUUGUGCCUAUCCUAUUCCAUUUCUUUCUGUUUUCAGAGUUUUUUUUUUCUCAGCCCACAUUCUCUGCUGCUGUCACUCCCUUACCAGAAAGGGUGGGAGGAAGGGGAGUGGCUUAUUUGGAGUUUAAUUUCUCUCUGAUGUUCAAACCAGCACAAUAUUCCUCUCAGAAGAAAAAGUUAAAAAGAGCUGUUUCCAGAUAAGCCAGACUUUCAGAUGUGGAAUCCAUAAUGUGACUAAACAGACUAGUUUACAGUUUCCUUGCAGUCUUCAAUCUCCACAUUUCAUAAAGCAUUUUAAUAGCUAAAAAGAUAAUUCCCUCCACCCCCCCAUCAAACCCAAAAGUUUGAUUAGGCAGAGCAAAUCAAGCAAUAGUUGACCUUAAAAAAAAAAAGAAAGAAAAAAAUGCAAAACUUUCCAGAAUUAAAACCACAAAUAUUAGUGAAUUAGCAAAAUCAAAUAGAGGAAGCAGGAAAAAAGGAAAAUACUCCAACGCUUUUUCUCCUGUUAAAAUUUUUCAUGAGACUCUCAAGAAAGACCAUGGUAAAAUGAACCUAAACUGCAGGAACCAUAAACUGAAGAGAUAUCCAUCUUAAAUAACAGUGAAAUCAAAACAUGCAUAUUCACACAUGAAAUACUAUUCUUCACACUGUUCAGGCUUUGCAAGCAUAUUGUUACAAAACUGGGUCAUUUUCCUUAAAAAGUAUAAAAAUAUUGCAACUAAGAAAAAUGUCAAAAAUUAUACCCAGAAAGUACAUCAGUUAAGAUGAAAGAAUGUAGGGCAAUUCUGCUUAAUUUAUAUUUCCCACUAAAAUGCUUAUAAACAAUAGAGAGAAAUUAUUUAUUAGCUGUCAUACAACU
Molecule: long non-coding RNA, 1674 nt
Organism: Pseudopodoces humilis (Tibetan ground-tit)
Lineage: Eukaryota; Metazoa; Chordata; Aves; Passeriformes; Paridae
Source: RefSeq, a predicted model, not a curated record